Molecule: non-coding RNA, 71 nt
Organism: Stegodyphus mimosarum
Lineage: Eukaryota; Metazoa; Arthropoda; Arachnida; Araneae; Eresidae
Source: Rfam
GCCUUUGUGGUGUAACGAUAGCACACUUGGCGCAUACUCCAGAGGUCCAGGUUCGAGUCCCGGCGAAGGCC